GAUGAACGCUGGCGGCGUGCCUAAUACAUGCCAGUCGAGCGAACAGACGAGGAGCUUGCUCCUCUGACGUUAGCGGCGGACGGGUGAGUAACACGUGGAUAACCUACCUAUAAGACUGGGAUAACUUCGGGAAACCGGAGCUAAUACCGGAUAAUAUAUUGAACCGCAUGGUUCAAUAGUGAAAGACGGUUUUGCUGUCACUUAUAGAUGGAUCCGCGCCGCAUUAGCUAGUUGGUAAGGUAACGGCUUACCAAGGCAACGAUGCGUAGCCGACCUGAGAGGGUGAUCGGCCACACUGGAACUGAGACACGGUCCAGACUCCUACGGGAGGCAGCAGUAGGGAAUCUUCCGCAAUGGGCGAAAGCCUGACGGAGCAACGCCGCGUGAGUGAUGAAGGUCUUCGGAUCGUAAAACUCUGUUAUUAGGGAAGAACAAAUGUGUAAGUAACUAUGCACGCCUUGACGGUACCUAAUCAGAAAGCCACGGCUAACUACGUG
RNAcentral lists this ribosomal RNA (497 nucleotides) under uncultured bacterium. RNAcentral's name for it is "partial 16S ribosomal RNA". It matches the Rfam family "Bacterial small subunit ribosomal RNA", at positions 28 to 507 of the family's 1533-position model. The record is from RNAcentral.